GGCAACCUCAUCCAAACACAAAGGUAGCUCACACCCACCACAGGUUCUCCAGAUACCACCCUUCACAUGCUGGGCACAGAGAGGUCCUCAGCCACAGGCCUUAGGUCAGGGAGAGCAGAAAAUGCACAAAGUUCAACAGACUCAAAAGGCAGUGAACUGAUUGACCUGAGUGUCGAGGCUACCCAUGUUGGAGGAGAGCUGCCGAGGUGUCAAGGAAGACUUCUCUGUCCUGGGUCUGAGAGCACCUGGAUUGCCUCAGCCUGAGAGAGCAGCAAGGCAGUAGACAGUCUCAUCCCAUUCCGAUGGUGACAGUCAUCUCCUGAAACCUAAAAGUGCCCACAGCCCUCCAUGUAGCAGAGCCCCAGGGGAAAAAAAAAAACACAGCCUAGGCAGAACAAGGACAUACUGAACUCAGUAGCCAUCAAGAGCCUGCAGCGCUAAAGGAACGUGAAGCCAGCGGGGUAGACAGGGCGACAACCCAGACCCACCUCAAUUCAUAACUAGAUUGGCUCCACCUCUUGCUGGUGGGUCAACAGAAAUGAAGGCAUAAGUACUUCUCCAGUCUUCUGUACAUGUCUGGCACUCAGUCAGAAGUGGCACAAUGCCAAAGAGCAAAUGAAAAACCCAGGGCCAAGAGACAACUGGGCAGAAGCAGAUGGGUGGACAGCAUGCGUGAGUAGGUGGGGAUUGUAGCAGAAGAGAAGAGUCGAGAAGAAACCAAGAGUCUGCCCUUGACGCCCUGAAGAGAAGACUCAGCAGUACAGCCAAAGAAGACCACAUGGUGUACAUCCCUGUCUGGCCACACCUGGUCUUUUACAGAAACACUGAUCAAUGGUUGGGAGAAAGGUAUCAUCAAAGAGACUGAGGGAGGCUGGCCCAGAAUUCCAGGACGAUAAAGGAGAACAGGAGCUGGGGGUUCUAACAUCCAUCAGUCAACCUCCCUGUCUCAGCCGCUCACAGACAGCCUGCAGUUCCAGACCAGCUCCACACCCUUCAGGCCCUCGUCCAGGAACAAUGCUGCAAUACACCAACAGAUCAAAACUGUUUCUCCAGCUUCUCCUAGACUGCAUCAUUGCUUCCCCUGGUCCACCACUCAAGGUGAAGUAAAGAAAAUGCCUUUUCUAGUCACUCCAGACUUGAGAACCCCAGGAUGAUGCUCCCCCCAUCAGAAAGUUGGCAGAUAGAAAAUGGCACCCUAUCCCUUGUGAGUAAAAGGUCUAGAUUAAAGGAAAUUUCCCUCCUUGCCCCUCUCGAAAGACUGGUGCCCUGAACAAGCUGAAGGUCCCAGGAAGUCUGCCAUCAUGGAAUUCCCAGAAAGCAGCUAAUCCCCCGGGGAGUCAGAGAAAAGCAGCCGACCUGUCUCUCAUCCUGCCAUUCUGAGAGACAGCUUAUGUAGAAAAGCAGUUCACUUCCUCAUUCUGACCCUGACAAGACCCGCCCCUCUUCCUUCUGUACCCUUAGCUAUCCCAUCCCCCAAACCACGUAAUUUGCAUUCCUCUGCAAGUUCAAUUGCUGUUCUUGGGGGCACCACCUCUCAGACCAAUAAAUGUCAACU
Mesocricetus auratus (golden hamster) is the source of this 1555-nucleotide long non-coding RNA. RefSeq lists it as uncharacterized. NCBI's taxonomy places the organism in Eukaryota, Metazoa, Chordata, Mammalia, Rodentia, Cricetidae. The transcript is spliced from 4 exons. The record is from RefSeq and is a predicted model, not a curated record.